GAUGAACGCUGGCGGCGUGCUUAACACAUGCAAGUCGAGCGAUGAAGUUUCCUUCGGGAAACGGAUUAGCGGCGGACGGGUGAGUAACACGUGGGUAACCUGCCUCAUAGAGUGGAAUAGCCUUCCGAAAGGAAGAUUAAUACCGCAUAAUGUUGAAAGAUGGCAUCAUCAUUCAACCAAAGGAGCAAUCUGCUAUGAGAUGGACCCGCGGCGCAUUAGCUAGUUGGUGGGGUAACGGCCUACCAAGGCGACGAUGCGUAGCCGACCUGAGAGGGUGAUCGGCCACAUUGGGACUGAGACACGGCCCAGACUCCUACGGGAGGCAGCAGUGGGGAAUAUUGCACAAUGGGGGAAACCCUGAUGCAGCAACGCCGCGUGAGUGAUGAAGGUUUUCGGAUCGUAAAGCUCUGUCUUUGGGGAAGAUAAUGACGGUGCCCAAGGAGGAAGCCACGGCUAACUACGUGCCAGCCGCCGCGGUAA
Molecule: ribosomal RNA, 480 nt
Filed under: uncultured bacterium
Lineage: Bacteria
Description: partial 16S ribosomal RNA
Rfam family: Bacterial small subunit ribosomal RNA
Source: RNAcentral